ACGAACGCUGGCGGCGUGCUUAACACAUGCAAGUCGAACGGAAAGGCCCUGCUUUUGUGGGGUGCUCGAGUGGCGAACGGGUGAGUAACACGUGAGUAACCUGCCCUUGACUUUGGGAUAACUUCAGGAAACUGGGGCUAAUACCGGAUAGGAGCUCCUGCUGCAUGGUGGGGGUUGGAAAGUUUCGGCGGUUGGGGAUGGACUCGCGGCUUAUCAGCUUGUUGGUGGGGUAGUGGCUUACCAAGGCUUUGACGGGUAGCCGGCCUGAGAGGGUGACCGGCCACAUCGGGACUGAGAUACGGCCCAGACUCCUACGGGAGGCAGCAGUGGGGAAUAUUGCACAAUGGGCGGAAGCCUGAUGCAGCAACGCCGCGUGCGGGAUGACGGCCUUCGGGUUGUAAACCGCUUUCGCCUGUGACGAAGCGUGAGUGACGGUAAUGGGUAAAGAAGCACCGGCUAACUACGUG
Molecule: ribosomal RNA, 467 nt
Filed under: uncultured bacterium
Lineage: Bacteria
Description: partial 16S ribosomal RNA
Rfam family: Bacterial small subunit ribosomal RNA
Source: RNAcentral